Molecule: long non-coding RNA, 511 nt
Organism: Myxocyprinus asiaticus (Chinese sucker)
Lineage: Eukaryota; Metazoa; Chordata; Actinopteri; Cypriniformes; Catostomidae
Exons: 4
Source: RefSeq, a predicted model, not a curated record
GGCAAUGGAUAGCAAUCUGGCACAGUGACAGCAUUUACCUUUCGGUAAUCUGUGCAAAAACGGAAAGUUCCACGAGGCUUUGAUACGAAGAGACAUGGGGAACUCCACGGACUACAGCUAUGCUUAGCCAAAUGAUUCUCCAACAAUUGCUUUGGGGCAUUGUGCAAUACCAGACCGUCCUCGUCAGCACCAAGGUCACCAGUGGAGGGGGGUGUAUCCUCACAGGUUACUGAUUUGUCAGUGUAUGGACCAGAAAAAUGGGCAGACAGUGCAGAACCAGGGAAGGGCAACAGAACCAGGACGUCAUCACCAGGGGACCGACACAAUCAACAAUAACGUGUUCGAAUGGCUCACCAAUCACAGGAAUGGGCAAUAGUGGCGCAGGUGGAAUCACCUGAUUAGGCUUUCCCAUCAAUUGACAUGUUUGGCAUGUCCGGCAGAUUUCGGCUACAUCUUUCUUGAGACCGGGCCAAAGAGAAUAUGGUUGUUAGUUUUCAUUACUCCCAGAUGA